This 253-nucleotide ribosomal RNA is filed under the name uncultured bacterium. RNAcentral's name for it is "partial 16S ribosomal RNA". It matches the Rfam family "Bacterial small subunit ribosomal RNA", at positions 524 to 776 of the family's 1533-position model. The record is from RNAcentral.
GACAGAGGGGGCAAGCGUUGCUCGGAAUCACUGGGCGUAAAGGGCGCGUAGGCGGGAUGGCAAGUCGGUCGUGAAAUCCUUCGGCUCAACCGAAGAACGUCGGCCGAUACUGCCGUUCUUGAGGGAUGCAGAGGAGAUUGGAAUUCCCGGUGUAGCGGUGAAAUGUGUAGAGGUCGGGAGGAACACCGGUGGCGAAGGCGGGUCUCUGGGCAUCUCCUGACGCUGAGGCGCGAAAGCGUGGGGAGCAAACGGG